Molecule: small RNA, 377 nt
Filed under: Oryza sativa Japonica Group (Japanese rice)
Lineage: Eukaryota; Viridiplantae; Streptophyta; Magnoliopsida; Poales; Poaceae
Description: sRNA Os03g0259551
Source: RNAcentral
CUCACCUGAUUGCUGUGGCCACACUUCUUCUUGCGGCAGUUUGUAGCCCUGGGAGGCAGAGUUGCAUAGCACCUGCAAGACAAAGGGACCAUCUUGUUGAUGUUGUGCUUGUAGGCGAGGACCCUGAGCGAGGGCUCGAUCCAGAUGUGGCCGCCGCGUAGGCGAAGCACCAGGUGAAGCGUGGACUCCUUCUGGAUGUUGUAGUCGGCCAGCGUGCGGCCAUCCUCCAGCUGCUUCCCGGCGAAGAUGAGGCGCUGCUGAGAGCAGGGUUACCUUCCUUGUCCUGGAUCUUGGCCUUGACGUUGGCGACGGCGUCGCUGUUCUCCACCUCGAGGGUGAUGGUCUUCCCCGUCAGCGUCUUCACGAAGAUCUGCAUC